UACGUAGGGUGCAAGCGUUGUCCGGAAUUAUUGGGCGUAAAGAGCUCGUAGGCGGUCUGUCGCGUCGGCUGUGAAAACCCGGGGCUCAACCCCGGGCCUGCAGUCGAUACGGGCAGACUAGAGUGCGGUAGGGGAGACUGGAAUUCCUGGUGUAGCGGUGAAAUGCGCAGAUAUCAGGAGAAGACCGCUGGCGGAAGGCGGGUCUCUGGGCCGUAACUGACGCUGAGGAGCGAAAGCGUGGGGAGCGAACAGG
RNAcentral lists this ribosomal RNA (253 nucleotides) under uncultured bacterium. RNAcentral's name for it is "partial 16S ribosomal RNA". It matches the Rfam family "Bacterial small subunit ribosomal RNA", at positions 524 to 776 of the family's 1533-position model. The record is from RNAcentral.